Molecule: ribosomal RNA, 478 nt
Filed under: uncultured bacterium
Lineage: Bacteria
Description: partial 16S ribosomal RNA
Rfam family: Bacterial small subunit ribosomal RNA
Source: RNAcentral
GACGAGCGCUGGCGGCGUGCUUAACACAUGCAAGUCGAACGGUAAGGCCCUUCGGGGUACACGAGUGGCGAACGGGUGAGUAACACGUGGGUGAUCUGCCCUGCACUUCGGGAUAAGCCUGGGAAACUGGGUCUAAUACCGGAUAGGACCACUGCCUGCAUGGGUGGCGGUGGAAAGCUUUUGCGGUGUGGGAUGGGCCCGCGGCCUAUCAGCUUGUUGGUGGGGUGAUGGCCUACCAGGGCGACGGCGGGUAGCCGGCCUGAGAGGGUGACCGGCCACACUGGGACUGAGAUACGGCCCAGACUCCUACGGGAGGCAGCAGUGGGGAAUAUUGCACAAUGGGCGCAAGCCUGAUGCAGCGACGCCGCGUGAGGGAUGACGGCCUUCGGGUUGUAAACCUCUUUCAGCACCGACGAAGCGCAAGUGACGGUAGGUGCAGAAGAAGGACCGGCCAACUACGUGCCAGCCGCCGCCGUAA